AGCGUGCAGGAAGAAGGCCCUACGGUUGUAAACUGCUUUUGUCAGGGAAUAAACCCUUGGAUUUACUCCGAGGCUGAAGGUACCUGAAGAAUAAGCACCGGCUAACUCCGUGCCAGCAGCCGCGGUAAUACGGAGGGUGCGAGCGUUAUCCGGAAUUACUGGGUUUAAAGGGUGCGUAGGCGGCGCCGUAAGUCAGGAGUGAAAGUUUGCGGCUCAACCGUAAAAUUGCUUUUGAUACUGCGGUGCUAGAAUUAGGAUGAGGUCAGCGGAAUGUGGCAUGUAGCGGUGAAAUGCAUAGAUAUGCCAUAGAACACCAAUUGCGAAGGCAGCUGGCUAGACCUGGAUUGACGCUGAGGCACGAAAGCGUGGGGAGCGAACAGGAUUAGAUACCCUGGUAGUCCACGCCCUAAACGAUGCUCACUCGACGUAUGAAGCUAGACUUUGUGCGUCCAAGGGAAACCGUUAAGUGAGCCACCUGGGGAGUACGACCGCAAGGUUG
This 499-nucleotide ribosomal RNA is filed under the name uncultured Bacteroidota bacterium. RNAcentral's name for it is "bacterial SSU rRNA". It matches the Rfam family "Bacterial small subunit ribosomal RNA", at positions 398 to 896 of the family's 1533-position model. Lineage: Bacteria; Pseudomonadati; Bacteroidota. The record is from RNAcentral.